GUAGAUCCCUCUAAAGGACAUGGCCGUGUUUUCCCCCUUAGGUCCUAGCUUUGUGUAGCUGUUGAGGAAAGAGUUCCCAGUGAAAGCAUUAAUUGCUGCCUGGCAAACUACCAGAGAGCCACAAGCCUAUCAGCUCAGUGCCCAGCAACAAGACCUUCCCUGGCUGAACAAUGUAAUACCAGCUUGGGGUUAUCAGAGUGUACCUUCACAACACAAUGCAGGGGACAGAGCAAACAGGGAAGCAACAGCAUCAGGGAAGAGAGGUAAUCUGCUGGAGAUAUGUAUGCAACUGGUUUUGUUUGACACUGAUUAUCUUAAUGCUCACAACCUCCAAUAAUGAAGAAUUCGUAAAAACUGAAGAUGUUCCCAGGUUAGAAGGUCCAGAUGAUCCAGAUCUAAAUUCAAAUCUUUCUUCAAAAACUGAAGGCAUUGAGCUUUGAGGAGUCAUGAAAUUUGACUCAGAGAUCCAAAAUACCAGACACUUAAUAAGGACCAUUCAUUCUCCAAGGGGAUCACAACCUGAAAUCCUGCUGAAAGGCUGGUGCUACAACAGAGGUCAAAGAGAGAGGAAAAGAGGUGAAUUAACUGGGAAAAAUGCCAGUUAUUGUCUUGAUC
Molecule: long non-coding RNA, 615 nt
Organism: Cygnus atratus (black swan)
Lineage: Eukaryota; Metazoa; Chordata; Aves; Anseriformes; Anatidae
Exons: 5
Source: RefSeq, a predicted model, not a curated record